This 410-nucleotide RNase P RNA is filed under the name Bacteroidota bacterium. Its description in RNAcentral is "RNase P RNA component class A". It matches the Rfam family "Bacterial RNase P class A". Rfam says of the family: Ribonuclease P (RNase P) is a ubiquitous endoribonuclease, found in archaea, bacteria and eukarya as well as chloroplasts and mitochondria. Lineage: Bacteria; Pseudomonadati; Bacteroidota. The record is from RNAcentral.
ACUGCAUGCUGCGCUAUCGACUUUGGAUCCUGACGAAGGAAACAGGGUAGGAAAGUCCGGACAGCAAAGAGCAACGUACCGGUUAAUAGCCGGGUCUCUUUCAAAACGGGAACAGACAGUGCCACAGAAAAUAACUGCCUCACCCUCUCUAACUUGUUGGAGAGGGAAGGGGUGAGGGUGAAAAUGUAGGGUAAGAGCCUACGGCUGUUGCCAGUAAUGGCAAUGUGCGGGUAAACCUUGCGUGCUGAAAUGCCAUGUAUAGGAUCGAUUGAGGGCUGCUCGUCCAAUGAUCCAGGGUAGGCAGAUACAGGUUGCCAGUAAUGGCAAUCGCAGAUAAAUGAUAGCACAUCGUUAAGUUAGUGUACUACCUUAACGAAACACAGAAACCGGCUUACAGGCCUGCAGUAACC